Molecule: non-coding RNA, 164 nt
Filed under: marine eukaryotic metagenome
Source: RNAcentral
GGGCGACCACGAAACUGAAGGAAGUCUAAAGCAAAUUUUUGGACUGAGGUACACGAAUCACAUUUGAGGCUGACUAUAACUGGAUGAGUUUUUAACACAAAAUAAAGACCUUAUUGUGUGUACGUUGUUACAGUAAAUGUGAUGGAUAUAUAAAAUAAAAGAUU